Astatotilapia calliptera (eastern happy) is the source of this 470-nucleotide long non-coding RNA. The record is from Ensembl. Lineage: Eukaryota; Metazoa; Chordata; Actinopteri; Cichliformes; Cichlidae.
CAGCGGUAAUUAUAGCCUUAUAACAUUUAAUUCAGAUGGAAAAGCAUCAGACGAGCAGACUCUACACUUGUUUGUUCAAGCUCCUGUAUCCUCUGUCCUGCUGGUCUCUGAGUGUCUGUCCCAGGGAGAGAGGAGGGUGUCCUGCUCCUCUGAGGGAGGGGACAGUCCUCAGUACAGCUGGACUCUGGAUGGACGCACACUGACAGAUGCUGAGCUCCUUUCUGUAAAUAAUGAGACUAACAUCAUCACUCUGAGACAGCACAUGUCAGGACAUCUGGUCUGCUCAGUCAGGAACAACGUCAGUAAUGUUUUCAUAGAACACAGGCUGUCUACCUGUGCUCUGUCAGUGGGAUACAGACAUCAGGAUAAGAUGCUUAUAUGUGGUUUGAGAGCAGUUGUGGUCAUUCUCUUGUUAAUUGGGAUUCCCAUCUACUUCGCUUGGAGGAAAAAGAAACAUGCCAAAGCUGAAG